RNAcentral lists this ribosomal RNA (434 nucleotides) under uncultured bacterium. RNAcentral describes it as "partial 16S ribosomal RNA". It matches the Rfam family "Bacterial small subunit ribosomal RNA", at positions 29 to 507 of the family's 1533-position model. The record is from RNAcentral.
AGCGAACGCUGGCGGCAGGCCUAACACAUGCAAGUCGAACGAACCUUUCGGGGUUAGUGGCGUACGGUUGUGUAACCCGUGGGAACGUGCCUUUAGGUUCGGCAUACCUCAGGGACACUUGUGCUAAUACCGAAUGUGCCCUUCGGGGGAAAGAUUAGUCGCAGUUAGAGCGUCCCGCGUCUGAUUAGCUAGUUGUUUGAGUUAAUGACUCACCAAGGCGAGGUUCAGUAGCUGGUAUGAGAGGAUGAUCAGACACACUGGGACGGGGACACGGCAGAAACUCCUACGGGAGGCAGCAGAGGGGAAUCGUGCGAAAUGGGCGAAAGGAUGACGCAGCCAGGAUGGGUGAAUGAUGAAGGUAUGAGGAUAGUAAAAUUCUAGCAACGGGGAAGAUAAUGACGGUACCCGGAGAAGAAGCCCCGGCUAACUUCGUG